UGCCAUAGCUCAGUUGGUAGAGCAAGGGACUGAAAAUCCUUGUGUCCCCGGUUCGAUUCCUGGUGGCAC
RNAcentral lists this transfer RNA (69 nucleotides) under uncultured Bacteroides sp. It matches the Rfam family "tRNA". From Rfam's summary of the family: Transfer RNA (tRNA) molecules are approximately 80 nucleotides in length. Their secondary structure includes four short double-helical elements and three loops (D, anti-codon, and T loops). The record is from RNAcentral. Lineage: Bacteria; Pseudomonadati; Bacteroidota; Bacteroidia; Bacteroidales; Bacteroidaceae.